Molecule: signal recognition particle RNA, 99 nt
Filed under: Lachnospiraceae bacterium
Lineage: Bacteria; Bacillati; Bacillota; Clostridia; Lachnospirales; Lachnospiraceae
Also listed under: 1 other name
Description: signal recognition particle sRNA small type
Rfam family: Bacterial small signal recognition particle RNA
About the family: The signal recognition particle (SRP) is a universally conserved ribonucleoprotein involved in the co-translational targeting of proteins to membranes.
Source: RNAcentral
GCCGGGGUCCUGCGCGAUGUGAAUCUGUGAACCGUGUCAGGGUGGGAACACAGCAGCACUAAGCAGAAGCUCCAUGUGCCGCAGGGUCGCCUCGGUUUU